Molecule: ribosomal RNA, 422 nt
Filed under: uncultured bacterium
Lineage: Bacteria
Description: partial 16S ribosomal RNA
Rfam family: Bacterial small subunit ribosomal RNA
Source: RNAcentral
UGGGGAAUAUUGGACAAUGGGCGGAAGCCUGGUCCAGCAACGCCGCGUGAGGGAUGACGGCCCUUCGGGUUGUAAACCUCUUUCAGUACCGACGAAGCGGAAGUGACGGUAGGUACAGAAGAAGCACCGGCCAAACUACGUGCCAGCAGCCGCGGUAAUACGUAGGGUGCGAGCGUUGUCCGGAAUUAUUGGGCGUAAAGGGCUCGUAGGCGGUUUGUCGCGUCGGGAGUGAAAACACUGGGCUUAACUCAGUGCUUGCUUCCGAUACGGGCAGACUAGAGGCAUGCAGGGGAGAACGGAAUUCCUGGUGUAGCGGUGAAAUGCGCAGAUAUCAGGAGGAACACCGGUGGCGAAGGCGGUUCUCUGGGCAUGUCCCUGACGCUGAGGGAGCGAAAGUGUGGGGGAGCGAACAGGAUUAGAUA